Molecule: ribosomal RNA, 303 nt
Filed under: uncultured bacterium
Lineage: Bacteria
Description: partial 16S ribosomal RNA
Rfam family: Bacterial small subunit ribosomal RNA
Source: RNAcentral
AGCAGCAGCCGCGGUAAUACGAAGGGUGCAAGCGUUACUCGGAAUUACUGGGCGUAAAGCGUGCGUAGGUGGUGGUUUAAGUCCGUUGUGAAAGCCCUGGGCUCAACCUGGGAAUUGCAGUGGAUACUGGGUCACUAGAGUGUGGUAGAGGAUAGUGGAAUUUCCGGUGUAGCAGUGAAAUGCGUAGAGAUCGGAAGGAACAUCUGUGGCGAAGGCGACUAUCUGGGCCAACACUGACACUGAGGCACGAAAGCGUGGGGAGCAAACAGGAUUAGAUACCCCGGUAGUCCCUGUCUCUUAUAC